This 3976-nucleotide long non-coding RNA is filed under the name Bemisia tabaci. RNAcentral describes it as "lncRNA ENSSSA2NGG006312". Lineage: Eukaryota; Metazoa; Arthropoda; Insecta; Hemiptera; Aleyrodidae. The record is from RNAcentral.
GUAUCGUGCCAUACAUCGGGGGAACCCGCGGAUGAUCUCGAAAAUAAAUAGGAGGAGAUCUAAACAAAUCGGGAACUCACUAAGCCAUUGCAACAAAAUACACCCGAAUAACAUUUUUGUCUAGUUUAUGAGAUACAAUUUGCGGCAAGUGUCAAGUGUUAAAAUUGUAAUGUUUUUUCUAAAUCGUCAGAUCCUCUUCAGUUUGCUUGUCGUGGGCCCCAUUUUGUGCUUUGAAAAUGUUGGAGAGUCGAAGCCAAAAACGGAUGAGGCGUGUACUGAGGACUGCCGGCUGAAGGGGUAUUUCCUCGAGAAUGGAACUCAAAUUUGGCUGACUAAACUCGGCGAAAAGCAAUGCGAUUGCCUGCUCACGGAAGAACUGCUCAACUACCUGCGAAAGCGGUUCGAUGCCGACGAAAUCGUGGAGUUCGAGGAUCUAUAUAAACAGUCCGAUGUUCUCGGCCGGACAUGGUUGAAACGGAAAAAGAUCAUCGUGCAAAUUCCAGGGACUGAAUUAUUCCCGCUGUAUUCAGCAGGGAAGGGAAACAAAACAGAGCAGGGCAAGGAUCACUCCAAAGUUAAAGGACUAGUUCGAUCCAACCGGAUUACAGAGGAGUCUGCGGAAGCCGCGAAGAUAGCGGACUGCGAAGCGAAGUGCAAUAAAGCGCUGGGCUACGUCGUGCGCAAAGGGGAGCCCAAGACGCCGGUUUCCGUCGAGGCCUACAAUAAAACCGGGGACUACUGCCAGUGCCGAAAAAACCCAAUCAUCGUCGCCCUCCUCAAAGCUAAGUUACCUGACACGGGGAGCAAGGAGUACAUAGAGGUCUUCGGAUGUAAAACCGGCCCCGGGUGGGUACACAAAAAUCAAAUAAAUCCGUAUAUAAAUAAACAAUUCCUGAAACGGUACGGCCUCGACGUUGAAUUCUCCGCUGAUGCUGACGGCAAAGGAGGGGAAAUGACAUGGCAGAAGCCGAAACCCCCUGUCCCAGAGGAAUUCAAAGGAGGUGCCGAAGAGUGCAACGCCAAGUGUCAGAAUGGUGAAGGACAUAUUAUCAUCCACCCUGGAGCCAAUCUCAAGGGUGAAGGCAACACCAGUCAGCCUGCAAUUAAUCCCAAGGAUGGAGGGCACACCCCCACCAUCCCCCUGGAGCCAGUCCCAAGGGCAACGGGCAUACCAUUCCCGGCGCGACGGUACUUCAGCCACAUGCGGCCAAUGCCAAACCCGAUGCGGCCGAUGCCGACAAAGUAAUGUACAUCGCGACCGGAGUCGUGAAGAAAUGGGUUGCGGAAGAAGCAGAGUAUGAUACAUGCAAAUGCGUGGUCAACCAAGAGCUUAUCGAGCACCUUGAUGCCUCUGGAUUGCCCCAAAAGGAGUUCGCGACGGCUUUCGAAAAGGGACCCGACAGCGGUCGCGUUUGGCUCACCAUGCACAACAUCAAAGUAUCGUAUCAUAGGCCAGCCCGGGUCGACGAGCUCGCUGAAAAGAAGAAGCGCGCUCAAGAGGAGGAAAAGAGGCUGGCUGAAGAGAGGAGGCUAGCCGAGGAAAAGAGUAAUAAGAAGAAGCGACACCGAUUUUUCCGCUUCGGGCAAGGCCCCAAGAGUCGUCGACGGUGAAGGCCACGUCCCGACGGGCCGUUUUCAUGGGGUCGGGUGAUCGUUGAAAUUGAUAGACAAAGCUAUAGACAAAGAAGACAAAAGGGAUCCUAUUGGUGGAAGCAGGUGGUUGUAAUGGACAAAGGAGGUAGGUGGUACACUAACCAAGGGCAACCCAUGAGAGAAACUAUGCAUGGUUAUACCAUCAUUUUUUCCCAUUUAGUCUGAAGGAACCAACCAUUUCAACCAAGAGGAUCCCUCCAUACUCCAUACGUCUUCUUUGUCUAUGACUUUGUCUAUCAAUUUCAAAAAUCAGCCCGCUGUUCUCAGAGAGAAAACAAGAGCUGCAGUUUGAAGUACGGGCUGAGUGGCACCGUGGCACCCCCUCCUUGUACGAGUCGUCUCUGAUUGGCUCAUCCACCGGGUGCCCACUUUCUGGGGUCCUUAUGGAAAAUAACACAGGGUUGAUUUUUAAUCGGAAAUAUCUCGAUAACAAAGAAAAAUUCAUGCGUCGACGUCGGAGAUUUCAGAAGCCAAUUCUCCAAAUUUUUCUGAAGCGAUUAAUGGCUCAGACAUGACACGUCUUUCUCGAACACACCGAAUUAUUUUGUAUUUUUAUGACACCAAAUGUCAUAUUACUACUACUAACAAGUCGCUCUUACAGCGCUUCUGCGCGCUCUGCGACACCCAACCGCCACUGAUAGCGAUCCUGCCAUAGCUCCUCCGGCAGAUCGCAUCUCCUCAUUUCCUGCCUUAUUCCCUCAAUCCACGAUUUAGCAGGGCGUCCUCUACGCUUUCUGCCAGGGGGACCCAAUCCAAAACCUUCUUAGGCAACCUAUCAUCUGGCAUCCGUUGCACAUGACCAUACCAGACAAGCUGUUUUGUAAAAAUGUCAUGCACUAUGUUGUUUUCGACGCCCAUAAUUUCACGGAUCCUCUCAUUCCGAACGUGAUCCUUUCUCGAAACUCCGGCCGAUCUACGCCAGUAGUCCAUUUCGGUUGCCUUAAAAAUGUCCUGGGACCGUUUCUUUAACUGCCACACCUCGCUGCCAUAGGUUAAUAUGCUCUUGAUGAUGGAGUUAUACAUUCUCUUUUUGUUAACUUUGGAUAUUGACUGGUCCCAAAGAAUACCAUUCAUCAUUCUAAUGGCUUUCCUCCCCUGCAGAUUCCGAUCUUUGAUUGCCUGGUCCAUUUUGCCAUCAGAUGUUAAGCGCACACCUAGGUACUUGUAUUGUUCACAACCUCUGAUCUUCUGACCAUCCUCUAACUCUAUGCUUUGCUGAUCGCCUCCUACCGUUAACUUCUCUGUUUUUCGGAUGCUGACUUCUAGACCCCACUUCCGAUAUUCGACAACCAACUUCCGAGCCAUAUAUUCCGCAUCUUCCGCAUCCUGAGCAACCACCACCUGGUCAUCAGCAAAGCACAAAGUGAAAAGGGUGCCGAUCUCAUCUAAAGGAACGCCCAUGCCAGCACACUUGCUUUUCCAUUCUUUUAAGACUUGUUCCAAGAAAACUUUAAACAAAGUAGGCGAAAGACAACACCCCUGUUUUAAUCCCUUGUUUACAUAAAAACCCUCGGAAAAUCUCCCCUGACACCGAAUUUUAGAAUAAGCCCCCCGAUAAAACUGCUUAAUCGCUACGAUAAGUCCCCCAGUAAAACCAGAUUUUUCCAAAGCCUCCCAGAGUUUCAGCAGAGGUACACUAUCAUAGGCUUUUUGAAGAUCUACGAAAACUAAGUGCAGCUCUUGUCCUACUGCCAAUCUUUUCUCAAUUUGUUUAUACGCAGUCUUAUCUGUGGCGCUUCUGGACGCCAGGAAGUUGUGGUACUUUUUCCUUUUUUCGAUGAUUUCUUCUUCGAUGUGACCAUCCCACCAAUAUGGUUUCCCCUUUGAAUUUCCUUCCUCACAAACUCCUAGAGCCUCCUUCGCAGCAGCGUGAAUGCACUCCUUAAUGCACUCGUACUGUUGUUCGGUACUGUCAAACGUUCCCUCUGAAAGCUUCUCAUCCAAUCGCUUCCGAUACAAACCCUAGAUAAGAGACCAAAUGUCAUAUUACAAGAUGAAAAAACUAAAUUCCAGGUCGAACUGUUUGGAGUGAUUGAGAAAAAAGUGUCAUGUUUAACCUUUCAAUCUCUUUAUAGAAAAAUCUGGAGAGUUCAUUUCUGAGAUCUCCGACGCAUGAAUUUUUCUUCGUUAUCGAGAUAUUUUCGAUUAAAAAAACUUUGUGUUAUUUUCCAUAAGAGCCCCAGAAGUGGGCACCAGGCGGAGGAGCCAAUCAGAGACAACUCGUAAACGUAGGGGUGCCACUCGGUCCGUAAUUCAGUAUGUCACGGACUCGUUGUCCAACUUGUACAUACACUAAGCAAAAUAAAAAUCAACAUGCGUGCAA